This 1458-nucleotide long non-coding RNA is filed under the name Panax ginseng (ginseng). RNAcentral describes it as "long non-coding RNA (PGIN_LNC015938)". Lineage: Eukaryota; Viridiplantae; Streptophyta; Magnoliopsida; Apiales; Araliaceae. The record is from RNAcentral.
UACUAGCGGACGUAUUAAGUAAAAUUUUUGGACACAAAUGCCCCCACUUUCCCUACUUAGCAUCUACACGACCAAUUUAAAAUAACACCAUUUUCAUUCCUACCUCUGAUUUUCUUCCGGCCCGCCCGCCUCCUACUUCCUCCCUCCUCCUCCCUUCGGCCCACCAUCCCUUCCUCUUCCUCUAGUCACUCCUUCAACCCUGCCUAGGUGCUGUUGCAGCCUUUUCGGCCACUGUAACGUGGACCUUUUUGAAAAUCCACUUUUCGAUCUGAGCUUUACCAAGUCCGAGGGUUGCUAGAUCGUGGGUCCUUCUUGUGCGAUUAGUAGAGGGUAUGGUUCUUGUGUGUGAGGGAAGUGGAGUCAUGAUCUGAAGUGGGGUUUUUUGGGGUUAAUGGUUUGGGGAAUUCGGAUCUUGAGGGGUGUCUGCUGGUGGUGGCUUUGGCACAUGGGUCCUGUCGGAAUCUGGGCUCCGGUUGUUGUCCUCGCCGGAAUGGGGAUGUCUUUUGGUUCCUUUUUCUGCUCUUUUUGUGAGGAUGGAAUGUGUUUCUCGGAUGGUUCCUUUUUCAUCCGUGUGGUUUUCUGAUCUGAAGUAUACUUCUAUUGAUGAUCCUUUAUUAUUUCAGUUUUGGAUGUUAAAUACUUAAAUGUUUAAUUUUUGGUUCCAAUCAUUUUGAUCUAUGGAUAAUGCUCUAGUUUUAAUUUAGAAUGAAUUAGCGUUUUCUCUUUGGACUUGAUUUGAUGUUGUUCUUUGAUAUGGCUACUGCCGGAUGGGUGUUUCCGAUUCCUGAUCGGAUUGCCGGUUUAAGGCCAGACGGUACUUGGCCGGAAAUUUGUUUCAGUCCGUGCAGUUUUGCUUGGGUGCAGCGAUUCUUGUUGCCGAAGGUUGUUUGUCAGUGGUUUUACUGGCCUUGUUUUGCAACUAGUUUGGACUGCCUCGUUGACUAUGAAUAUCAGAUGUUGAGGGCCCACGUGGCUGUUUGAUUAUAAAUUUUUAGCUGAUGUGCUUGGUUAAUGCACCCACGUGGGCUGUCUUGUACUGCUGAUGAUUUUGAAUUUUUAAGGACUCACUAGUUUUGUGGUUCUUUGUUGUAACUAAUCCAUUGUUUGUGGUUUAGUUGUAAUCAACUUUUGUCUCUUUUUAUUUAUAAUUGGUCCGCUAGACAUACUAGCGGAUGGUGUUAUUUAUGUCCAAAAAUUUUAUUUAAUACGUCCACUCUUAUUAGUGGACAGGGUGUUUCUAAAUUAAAUCUCAAUCAUUCAUUUAAUAAACGGAUGGUUAAGAUGAUAUAUGUUACUUUUUGAUCCAUAGCAAAUAGAUGCGAUAGAUUAUUCUCCUAUAUAUAUAUAUAGUUCGGAUCUUAAGUUCAUCCCUUAUCCAAUUCACCCGAGCUCACCUCUCUUUAGCGACGGACCCGACGACGGUUCGGUCAUACAACCGUUGUCUAUAUUUUUAGCGAC